CCCUCUUCAUUUCUUGGAAUGCUGUCAGAAAUGUAGCAUCCCAGGACCCACCCCAGACCCAGUGAAUCAGAAUCUGCAUCUUAACAGGAUACCCAGGUGAUCACAUGUACAUAAAGGUUUAGAGGCACCGACCUGGGGCAUAUGGUGACCUGACAAACUCAGAGGCCUAGGGCUAGAAGUCACAGCCUUGCAAAGCUCAUACAGGUCAUCCUAAAUGGCUUCUGUGUGAAUGGCCUCACUCCCAGCCUGGGGCCAUAUGAAUGAGCCAUGUCUUACACCUGUAACUUUAUUUUUCAAACUCAUGUUAUAUUCUUCUGGAACUUGGGGGUGGUCAGAAAGGAGACAGAGGACAAGGGAGGUGGUUAGAAUUGAAGAUGCAAAGGCAUGUCUGAUCUCAUUUCUCUGCAACUCAGGAAAAGAGGGUAAUAUUUGAGAGCUAAAGUCUACUGAGGCUGCUACAUAGUACUGCAGGACCUUAGACAGAAGUCACUUCACCUUUCUCUACUUCAGUCUUUUCAAGUGUAAAAUAGGGAUAAGUAACAGUACCUACCUUUGAGAGUGUGUUGUAGGAUUAAAGGAACUGACAUUUGUAAAGUGCUUAGAACUGUGUAUUAUGUUAGCAUAUGAUAAUGUAUAGGUAGUGUUAAAUAAAAAUUUAUUAUUUUUAAGUCAUGGCUUUGGUUUCUCCCUGAUAAAGAAACAAAAAUUAAUAGACUAGAUAGUGAAGGGGAAUCACAGAAGAAAAGCAGCUCAACAUAUGUUUACUGAUUCUCUACCCUAUGACAGACAUGCAUAGUUUGUAUCCUCUGGGAUACAAAAAUGAAGAUCCUUGUUUUUGAAAGAGUUCACAGUCUACUGAGGAUUGAGAGCAAAGGCUGUCCCUAAAGACGAUGUCUGAGUUCAAGAUUCCUGUUCCAUUUUUAAAAUCAGCGAUUAGAUAGACUGGCAAGUAUGUGGUUGGCAAUGUCAUAAAAGGAUCUGAAGUCUCAUUUCUCAGUAGUGAAAUUGAGAAAAAUGUCUACUUUAUUAGCUUUGAGCUCCUUAUAUAAGUGCCAACUUCCUAUAUUCGAGGUAAACAGUUUAAAAAGAAAAAAGGGGGCCAGGCACGGUGGCUCAUGCCUGUAACCCCGGCACUUUGGGAGGCCGAGGCGGGUGGAUCACCUCAGGUCAAGAGUUCGAGACCAGCCUGGCCAACGUGGUGAAACCCCAUCUCUACUAAAAAUACAAAAAUUAGCCAGGCGUGGUUGCGUGCACCUGUAGUCCUAGCUACUCGGGAGGCUAAGGCAGGAGAAUUGCUCGAUCCCAGGAGCGGAGGUUGCAGUGAGCUGAGAUUGUGCCACUGCUCUCCAGCCUGGGGGACAGAGCGAGAUUCAUCUCAAAAAAGAAAAAGAAAAA
This 1395-nucleotide long non-coding RNA is filed under the name Macaca fascicularis (crab-eating macaque). RNAcentral describes it as "lncRNA (ENSMFAG00000051536.1)". Lineage: Eukaryota; Metazoa; Chordata; Mammalia; Primates; Cercopithecidae. The record is from RNAcentral.